CACCAGCGCCACAAGUGGGGACCGCUAUUAUUGGGCCUAAAGCGUCCGUAGCCGGGUUGGAAAAUCCCUCGUGAAAUGGUGAGGCCUAACUUCACCGCGUGCGGAGGACACUACCAACCUUGAGACCGGGAGGAGUCAGAGGUAUUGAUGGGGUAGCGGUAAAAUGCAAUAAUCCCAUCAAGACAACCUGUGGCGAAGGCGUCUGACCAGAACGGGUCUGACGGUGAGGGACGAAAGCUGGGGGA
This 245-nucleotide ribosomal RNA is filed under the name uncultured archaeon. Its description in RNAcentral is "partial 16S ribosomal RNA". It matches the Rfam family "Archaeal small subunit ribosomal RNA", at positions 474 to 718 of the family's 1478-position model. The record is from RNAcentral.